GACGAACGCUGGCGGCGUGCUUAACACAUGCAAGUCGAACGGAAAGGCCCUGCUCUUGCGGGGUGCUCGAGUGGCGAACGGGUGAGUAACACGUGAGUAACCUGUCCUUGACUUUGGGACAACUUCAGGAAACUGGGGCUAAUACCGGAUAGGAGCUCCUGCUGCAUGGUGGGGGUUGGAAAGAUUCGGCGGUUGGGGAUAGACUCGCGGCUUAUCAGCCUGUUGGUGGAGUAGUGGCGUACCAAGGCUUCGACGGAUAGCCGGCAUGAGAGGGUGACCGGCCACAUUAGGCCUAAGAUACGGAGCAGUCGGCAACGGGACGCAAUGGUGGAAAGUAUGACGGAGUAAGCGGGAGCCAGAGACAACAGCGCCGGGAGCGGAAUAACGGCCUUCGAGUGAAAAACCGAUGUGGAAGGAAACAAGGAGUUAGUGACGGUAAUGAGUAAAAAAGCCCCGGCUAACUACGUG
Molecule: ribosomal RNA, 468 nt
Filed under: uncultured bacterium
Lineage: Bacteria
Description: partial 16S ribosomal RNA
Rfam family: Bacterial small subunit ribosomal RNA
Source: RNAcentral